RNAcentral lists this unclassified non-coding RNA (329 nucleotides) under soil metagenome. Its description in RNAcentral is "partial contains 5.8S ribosomal RNA, internal transcribed spacer 2, and large subunit ribosomal RNA". The stretch from base 1 to 120 matches the Rfam family "5.8S ribosomal RNA", at positions 35 to 154 of the family's 154-position model. The record is from RNAcentral.
GAUGAAGAACGUAGCGAAAUGCGAUAAGUAGUGUGAAUUGCAGAAUUCAGUGAAUCAUCGAAUCUUUGAACGCACAUUGCGCCCCUUGGUAUCCCGAGGGGCAUGCCUGUUCGAGUGUCAUUUCACCACUCAAGCCUGGCUUGGUGUUGGGCGACGUCCUCUUUGGGGACGCGCCUCGAAACGCUCGGCGGCGUGGCACCGGCUUUAAGCGUAGCAGAAUCUUUCGCUUUGGAAGUCGGGGCCCCGUCUGCCGGAAGACCUGCUCGCAAGGUUGACCUCGGAUCAGGCAGGGAUACCCGCUGAACUUAAGCAUAUCAAUAAGCGGAGGA